Cercocebus atys (sooty mangabey) is the source of this 79-nucleotide microRNA precursor. NCBI's taxonomy places the organism in Eukaryota, Metazoa, Chordata, Mammalia, Primates, Cercopithecidae. The record is from Ensembl.
UAGUUCUUUUUCUCCCUUGAGGGCACUUUUCAGUUCCUGAGAUCAAUGUGGUCCCUACUGAGGAGACCAUGAGGAGCCC